CAGGGGGCGGGGCCGAAACGGCCGAGGGGGCGGGCGUUUGAAAUCAGGGCUUCCGAGCAGAGCUGGAACAUCACACUAAGCUUCGAGAGCCAAUUGCUUAAUGUCUGCAACGUCUCUCCCUUCCCCGACCCCGCUCCCAGACUCCUUCAUUCCGGCGCUGCGCGGACGGCAGACCCGGGAUAGAUCCAUCCAGCCUAGGAAAGUGAGCUGCGGAAAAAACUAGUGUUGUCAUUUAAUUGGAUAUGAAGAAAGAGCAAAAUAUGUACGGGGGCAGCCACGAUCUUUAUAAAGAACGUAAGUUCCAGGAAAGCAGGAACCUUGUCUGUCUUGUGCACCGGUUGUUUCCUCUGCAGAUAGAGCUGUGCGCGGCACAUAAUAGGUGCUGAAUUGUGUUGCAGACACUGCCCUCAGUUACAUACUCAACUACAUUGGUCUCACCCACCCAAGUCUGGCUGAUCCAACAGAACUCCUGGAGACAGGGAGAAACAUAAGAGAUUGCGGACUCACUGACCCUCUGGGCCUCCACAAAGCUGCUACACUUAGUGAGUCCCCUGGUGUAUCAGCAGUCUAAAAAGAUUAUUAUUUUCUUU
Ochotona curzoniae (black-lipped pika) is the source of this 590-nucleotide long non-coding RNA. RefSeq lists it as uncharacterized. The record is from RefSeq and is a predicted model, not a curated record. Lineage: Eukaryota; Metazoa; Chordata; Mammalia; Lagomorpha; Ochotonidae. The transcript is spliced from 4 exons.